This 374-nucleotide ribosomal RNA is filed under the name uncultured organism. RNAcentral's name for it is "partial 16S ribosomal RNA". It matches the Rfam family "Bacterial small subunit ribosomal RNA", at positions 528 to 896 of the family's 1533-position model. The record is from RNAcentral.
GUAGGUGCAGCGUUGUCCGGAAUUAUUGGGCGUAAAGCGCGCGCAGGCGGUUCGUUUAAGUCUGAUGGUGAAAAGACCCACGGGCUCAACCGUGGAGGGUCAUUGGAAACUGGAGAACUUGAGUACAGAAGAGGAAAGCGGAAUUCCACGUGUAGCGGUGAAAUGCGUAGAGAUGUGGAGGAACACCAGUGGCGAAGGCGGCUUUCUGGUCUGUAACUGACGCUGAGGCGCGAAAGCGUGGGGAGCAAACAGGAUUAGAUACCCUGGUAGCCCACGCCGUAAACGAUGAGUGCUAAGUGUUAGGGGGUUUCCGCCCCUUAGUGCUGCAGCUAACGCAUUAAGCACUCCGCCUGGGGAGUACGGCCGCAAGGCUG